This 204-nucleotide ribosomal RNA is filed under the name uncultured bacterium. RNAcentral describes it as "partial 16S ribosomal RNA". It matches the Rfam family "Bacterial small subunit ribosomal RNA", at positions 524 to 726 of the family's 1533-position model. The record is from RNAcentral.
UACGAAGGGGGCUAGCGUUGUUCGGAAUCACUGGGCGUAAAGGGCGCGUAGGCGGCUUUGUAAGUCGGGGGGUGAAAGCCUGUGGCUCAACCACAGAAUUGCCUUCGAUACUGCAUGGCUUGAGACCGGAAGAGGUUAGUGGAACUGCGAGUGUAGAGGUGAAAUUCGUAGAUAUUCGCAAGAACACCAGUGGCGAAGGCGGCU